UGAUGAUUAGCUCAGUUGGUAGAGCAUGCACCUCAUACGUGUAAAGUCACAGGUUCGAGUCCUGUAUCAUCAA
This 73-nucleotide transfer RNA is filed under the name Weissella tructae. RNAcentral's name for it is "tRNA-Met". It matches the Rfam family "tRNA". From Rfam's summary of the family: Transfer RNA (tRNA) molecules are approximately 80 nucleotides in length. The record is from RNAcentral. Lineage: Bacteria; Bacillati; Bacillota; Bacilli; Lactobacillales; Lactobacillaceae.